GAGGAGCAGAAUUCCCACCUGCAGCAAAACAGAAAACUCAGAAGCGCAUCCAAGCCACAAAAAAAGCGCGCGCCGCUUGCAAGCGGCUUCUCCAUCGAAACGUUUUCAUCUGAUUUCCAUCUUUUUUUUUUUGUUAGGUGGCCACACACCAAAAUCGACAUGAGCUCGCUGUCUACCGCUGCUGCUGCAACUGCCACCGGCUCCAGCAGUCCCCCUGGAUCACCCAGCCGCCCUACGGCACCCGGCUCGCCGACCAAUUGUUCCCUCCUUACCCCCUCAGCGGUGCUGUCACCAAGCGCUUCAGCGCCUCUUACAUCGCAGACAGGCGCUCUUACCGUCGGUGCGACUUCAGGUACUGCCCAGCUCACUGAGGGUUCUCGAAAGCCCCUCUCAACCGACUCGACGGCGAACAGCGGCGCCAUCGACGCAGCCACGACGACGUCGUCGUAUACGAACGCGCUCACAACGGCAUGGGCACCGGAUAUGGGAUGGGUAGUGGGUACGGUAUGGGAUGGACCCAUACGGUAUGGGGGGUAUGUACGGCGGUUACGGUGGCUUCGGCAUGGGUGGCAUGUAUGGGGGCCUUGGAAUGAUGGCAUGGGUGGCAUGUACGGCAUGGGCAUGACCCCCGAGGCGCAGCGUGCACAGAUGAUGAUGUUCAUGACGAGCCGCAUUAUGGAGCUGUGGGGUAUGUUUUCGCAAGUCAUGCAGAUGACACUCGGCAGCGCCGUUCAUUUUUUUGGCGAGUAUGUCGGCAUCAAUCAGCGCAUGGGGCAGCUAGAGGAGGAGAACCUGAAUCAUGAGGAGCGCUACAUGAGCCGCAAGUACGAGCUGCGCAAGGCCCUCUCCAAUAUUCCGCGUGAGCAGCGGUAUGUGCCGAAGCGAUCACGGGUCCGCAAGCCGAAGCAACCCUCCUUUCUCCGCAGCUUCAUCCUUCGCCUGCUUCGCCACGUGGCCCUCUUCGCACUCGCCUACCUCCUUUCGAAGCGGAUCGCGUCCUGGGCAAUGGCCCGCUCCGGUAGGAAACUUUUGGAAACGUCUGCGUCCGAGGCACUGGUCUCUGCCGACGCCUCCAAUACGCGCUUUUGACAAGCAACUGCGGCACACAUCCGUCGAUGGACAGGAGGAGCAUGGGAGCUGAUGACCGGUGUUUCUCCGCUGCAGGGGAGUGGCCUCAACAGUUUUAUCACAAGGGCCUUGCUCUUUUUCUUUUGCAGGCUUGCUUUUUUUUUGCACUUGCGCACCUCCUCUCUCUUUCGUCACUCCGCUCUCCCCGGUUCUCUCCGCCUCUCGGUGGACCGUCGCAGCGCAAAGAAUGGAGGUGGGCUAGAUCCGUAGCGCUGGCAUCGGCGUGCGCGGCGCUGGCGGUGACACACAGUUUUGCUUGUUCUUUGCCAUCUGUACAUGCUGGGUCAUUGCCGCCCCCUUCUGCAUUUUUAAUCUCUCUGUUCUUUCACUGCUGUGUGUGCGGUCCUCUCCGAAGGCUGGGCUGCUGAACGCACCAGACGGCAACUGUAUUAAGACGCGUGGAAGGGACACACACACACACACACACACACACACACACACACAAAAGCCAAACGGAUAGGAGGGCGUCGUGACUGCUGGCGGCACAGCGAGCAGCGGCUCUCCGAAAGAUAGGGCGCUG
Molecule: unclassified non-coding RNA, 1648 nt
Filed under: Leishmania donovani
Lineage: Eukaryota; Euglenozoa; Kinetoplastea; Trypanosomatida; Trypanosomatidae
Description: gene:LdHU3.35.6570(CDS-product:hypothetical_prote in_conserved)
Source: RNAcentral